This is a non-coding RNA of Arabidopsis thaliana (thale cress), 195 nucleotides long. RefSeq annotates it as other RNA. The transcript has a single exon. NCBI's taxonomy places the organism in Eukaryota, Viridiplantae, Streptophyta, Magnoliopsida, Brassicales, Brassicaceae. The record is from RefSeq.
UGGAGGAGAGUACUGUAGUGGAUGUCUCUGUCCGUGAACCAAAGACGGAGAGUACUGUCGAUGAAGUCUAUGUCCGUGACCUGGAGAAUAUGAAUUUGGGGCCAGAUGUUCAUAUGCAUAUACACUUCUUCCUAACCCACCAUGUGGAAGUGGAACCAUAUAUUCCGGGGAUCUUCUUGAGCGAUGAGGAAAAGA